CUUGUCCAAGUGAAUGAAUCUCUUCCUCGCCCACGGCCUACGUCGACUUGAUAGUUGUGGGCUCCUGAGAAAACGUGCCCCUCGUGGUGCGUGUACGUUUCACUCUGAUCCGGCUUCUUCUGGCUUAGCGGUCCUGUUUGGGCUUUCUCGGUUUUCUCGGCUCGGGGCGCCUGUUUUGUUGGCUCAUGCCUCUUUGCUAGCAGCGCCAUCUCU
RNAcentral lists this long non-coding RNA (213 nucleotides) under Arabidopsis lyrata. RNAcentral describes it as "long non-coding RNA (ALYR_LNC001020)". The record is from RNAcentral. Lineage: Eukaryota; Viridiplantae; Streptophyta; Magnoliopsida; Brassicales; Brassicaceae.